AUUGAACGCUGGCGGCAGGCCUAACACAUGCAAGUCGAGCGGUAGAGAGAAGCUUGCUUCUCUUGAGAGCGGCGGACGGGUGAGUAAUGCCUAGGAAUCUGCCUAGUGGUGGGGGAUAACGUUCGGAAACGGACGCCAAUACCGCAUACGUCCUACGGGAGAAAGCGGGGGACCUUCGGGCCUCGCGCCAUUAGAUGAGCCUAGGUCGGAUUAGCUAGUUGGUGAGGUAAUGGCUCACCAAGGCUACGAUCCGUAACUGGUCUGAGAGGAUGAUCAGUCACACUGGAACUGAGACACGGUCCAGACUCCUACGGGAGGCAGCAGUGGGGAAUAUUGGACAAUGGGCGAAAGCCUGAUCCAGCCAUGCCGCGUGUGUGAAGAAGGUCUUCGGAUUGUAAAGCACUUUAAGUUGGGAGGAAGGGUAGUAACUUAAUACGUUGCUACUUGACGUACCGAC
Molecule: ribosomal RNA, 457 nt
Filed under: uncultured Pseudomonas sp.
Lineage: Bacteria; Pseudomonadati; Pseudomonadota; Gammaproteobacteria; Pseudomonadales; Pseudomonadaceae
Description: bacterial SSU rRNA
Rfam family: Bacterial small subunit ribosomal RNA
Source: RNAcentral